This 527-nucleotide ribosomal RNA is filed under the name uncultured bacterium. RNAcentral's name for it is "partial 16S ribosomal RNA". It matches the Rfam family "Bacterial small subunit ribosomal RNA", at positions 355 to 871 of the family's 1533-position model. The record is from RNAcentral.
UGGGGAAUAUUGCACAAUGGGCGCAAGCCUGAUGCAGCCAUGCCGCGUGUGUGAAGAAGGCCUUCGGGUUGUAAAGCACUUUCAGCGAGGAGGAAGGUGGUGAGCUUAAUACGCUCAUCAAUUGACGUUACUCGCAGAAGAAGCACCGGCUAACUCCGUGCCAGCAGCCGCGGUAAUACGGAGGGUGCAAGCGUUAAUCGGAAUUACUGGGCGUAAAGCGCACGCAGGCGGUUUGUUAGGUCAGAUGUGAAAUCCCCGGGCUCAACCUGGGAACUGCAUUUGAAACUGGCAAGCUAGAGUCUCGUAGAGGGGGGUAGAAUUCCAGGUGUAGCGGUGAAAUGCGUAGAGAUCUGGAGGAAUACCGGUGGCGAAGGCGGCCCCCCUGGACGAAGACUGACGCUCAGGUGCGAAAGCGUGGGGCAGCAAACAGGAUUAGAUACCCUGGUAGUCCAGCGCUGUAAACGAUGUCGAUUUGGAGGUUGUGCCCUUGAGGCGUGGCUUCCGGAGCUAACGCGUUAAAUCGACCG